AAUGAGAGCUGAAGACUGCAGGGCGGUGUUUGUGUGGAUGCGGACACAGAGCUGUCUCUCUUUUCUUAAUUUAACGAAAGAUCGUUCUUUUUUAGCUGCUCCUUUGGUUUAUGGUGAACAGCUGCUUGAGUGUAAUCGCUGCUCAGAUAAACCUGAUCGAGAUGAAUUCGCUCAGUAAAAGUCAGCGGACCUGUAGUUAGUUAACUUAGGUUAGCUAACUGAACUAACGUUAACCGCAGCUGCUGCCGCCGUUAGUCUUCAGGUUAACCCGCUCAGGAAAUUAAAGUUAGACAUUGCGCCAAGUUACUUGAUAACGUCCCUUUUCUUAAAUUACAGCGUCGAUGAUGUUGAAAAGCAGGUGUAAGAAAAGCUCGAUGAGCAUCGGACUGCAGUCCAACAUUUCUACCUUUUUCUUCUCGAAGGUGGCUCCAAAAUCCCCGAAAGGAGGUACAGCCUUGUGUUCAGUUUGCAAGUAUAGAUUCUGAUGUGGUGAAGACACGUACCAAGGAAAAUGCAAGCGUCCCGCUGUCCCCC
Colossoma macropomum (tambaqui) is the source of this 534-nucleotide long non-coding RNA. RefSeq lists it as uncharacterized. NCBI's taxonomy places the organism in Eukaryota, Metazoa, Chordata, Actinopteri, Characiformes, Serrasalmidae. The transcript has 3 exons. The record is from RefSeq and is a predicted model, not a curated record.